AGUUAUUUGUAUUUAUGUAGAAUAACCUUGUUUGGUCUGUACUUUAACAUUUUGUUAAGAUUUUAAUUGUGAUGUGUAUGCGCUUUGGCUGUAAUGACUGGACUUAGAUUUGAGUAAGCUGUGAAUCUCUUUGGUUCUGUCUGUUAACUAGUUUCAAAUAAUUAGUUGUGCAUGGAGAUCUUGGUGCAUUUUUCCCAUACUGUAUGGAUAA
Long non-coding RNA from Rhodamnia argentea, 211 nucleotides. RefSeq lists it as uncharacterized. NCBI's taxonomy places the organism in Eukaryota, Viridiplantae, Streptophyta, Magnoliopsida, Myrtales, Myrtaceae. The record is from RefSeq and is a predicted model, not a curated record. The transcript is spliced from 2 exons.